This 495-nucleotide long non-coding RNA is filed under the name Marmota monax (woodchuck). Lineage: Eukaryota; Metazoa; Chordata; Mammalia; Rodentia; Sciuridae. The record is from RNAcentral.
UGGGAAAGUUAGUGAGCGCACCACGGAGGGCAGGAGGUGAUUUUGCAUAUGAGCAAACUGUGGCUCAAGUUACAGGGCUCUGUCUGGGCAAGUGACUUCCCCCUCGUUCACAGCCACUGAAAAUCAUGAACACUUGUAAUCUGCAGACUAAAUACCCAGCAGUCAAUUAGAGAAAAACACAUUUUUCUUCCACUGGGCCUUUUGUGGAUGGUGAUCGUCCAAAUUGGAAUUAUGUUCUUGGAGGACAAGGAGAAGUGUCCCUGUGUGAGUUUUCUAGACUGGCUUCUGACGUCUGUCUUGGAGGGCCAAGCCAGGGCUGGCCGGCCACUGACUGACCGCAAAGGAUUUCAAGCGUCCACAGAGGGAACUGGAGACCAGAACGGAGACUGAAAAGGGGAAGGAAAUGAAGUUGAGAAGCCUUAAGUCCUUAAAUGAAAUGACUCACCUCGCAGCGGGAGGAGGGCAAGCAGGAGGCCCCUGAGCGAGCAGGGCCCC